AUGACUUCGGUUAUAAUGAAAGUGGCGCACGGGUGCGUAACGCGUAUGCAACCUACCCUUUACUGGGGGAUAGCCCGGAGAAAUUCGGAUUAAUACCCCAUGGUAUUUACAGAAGGCAUCUGAAGUAAAUUAAAGAUUUAUCGGUAAGGGAUGGGCAUGCGUGACAUUAGCUAGUUGGUGAGGUAACGGCUCACCAAGGCAACGAUGUCUAGGGGUUCUGAGAGGAUGAUCCCCCACACUGGUACUGAGAUACGGACCAGACUCCUACGGGAGGCAGCAGUAGGGAAUAUUGGUCAAUGGGCGAGAGCCUGAACCAGCCAUGCCGCGUGCAGGAAGACAGCUUUCUGAGUUGUAAACUGCUUUUAUAUGGGAAGAAAAAGGUCCUGCGGGACAAAUUGCCGGUACCAUAUGAAUAAGCACCGGCUAACUCCGUGCCAGCAGCCGCGGUAAUACGGAGGGUGCAAGCGUUGUCCGGAUUUAUUGGGUUUAAAGGGUGCGUAGGCGGAUCUUUAAGUCAGUGGUGAAAUCCUGCAGCUUAACUGUAGAACUGCCAUUGAUACUGGAGAUCUUGAGUAUACUAGAGGUAGGCGGAAUUUAUGGUGUAGCGGUGAAAUGCAUAGAUACCAUAAAGAACACCAAUAGCGUAGGCAGCUUACUGGAGUGUAACUGACGCUGAGGCACGAAAGCAUGGGUAGCGAACAGGAUUAGAUACCCUGGUAGUCCAUGCCGUAAACGAUGAUUACUCGAUGUUGGCGAUACACUGUCAGCGUCCAAGCGAAAGCGUUAAGUAAUCCACCUGGGGAGUACGCUCCCAAGAGUGAAACUCAAAGGAAUUGACGGGGGUCCNCACAACGGGGGAACAUGUGGUUAAUUCGAUGAUCCCCAGGAACCUUCCUGGGCUCCAAUGGNAGGGAAUUUCCAAAAUGGUGAUUUUCGACNUUNUAAGGGCUCAUGGUUGCCCCACCUCGGCCCGNGGNGUGGUAAUCCCCACCAGCCANCCCUCUUNNUUCCCCUGUUUNUGGGNUUACGGCUCCUGCCACCNAAAGAGGGGGAGAGNAAUNUUUGCCUUCCCGGGUACNNCUNUAAUGGAAAAAAGUUCUCCU
This 1103-nucleotide ribosomal RNA is filed under the name Bacteroidetes bacterium N2yML1. RNAcentral's name for it is "bacterial SSU rRNA". It matches the Rfam family "Bacterial small subunit ribosomal RNA", at positions 74 to 1154 of the family's 1533-position model. Lineage: Bacteria; Pseudomonadati; Bacteroidota. The record is from RNAcentral.